AGAAUAGUGAUAGAAAUUUAUUUUUGAAAAAGAGUGGAAAUUGGUUAGUAGAAUUAUUAGAUAUAUUCUAAUGCUUUUGUCAUUUUUCAAAAAUAACUGCUAUUAGUCAGCCCAAGAACUUCAACGCUCUGAUGACACAGAAAUUCCAUAAAAUGAUGUAAAAACUUCAAAGAGUUAGUGGAUAAGUAUUUGUUAAAUGUCAAUAGCACAAUGUUUAAUUUAUAGCAACUAGGUAAAAGGGAAGUUUGACCACUCUCUUUUAAUACAUACAAAAACCAGGCUAGCAUUUACCUUGAUCUGUGAUGUACCACAGUGGAAAAAAUAAGGAUGAAAUUAUUGAAUCUCAAGUUUAAGUUGCUUCAUCUAUCUGUUUUGUGUGAAUUUUGAGUAAGG
RNAcentral lists this long non-coding RNA (393 nucleotides) under Bos taurus (domestic cattle). RNAcentral describes it as "long non-coding RNA NONBTAT016059". Lineage: Eukaryota; Metazoa; Chordata; Mammalia; Artiodactyla; Bovidae. The record is from RNAcentral.